AUCAAUUCAAACCUCUUGUGAAUCACAUAUUCAAAGAAAACAUGAUGUAAAUAUUCUAUGCUUUAGGCGUAGAUAGAAAGUAAUUAACUGUAUACAAGACACAUGAAAGGGUAACACAAGUUGUCACUCAUCAUCCUUGUAUGGGUACUCUUCUGGGACUUGCUUUAGAAGUUUCACCUGCAACUCAAACGCAUCAUCACCUCGAAGCAUAUCACGCGCCCAUGUCACUUCUGUCUUCAUUGACACCAUCUCCAAUGCCCCUCUAAUGACUCCACUUAAAAUGUUGCAGUAGUAUAGCCCUUGACAUGUGUCAGGAAGCUCAACAAAGUCUACCAAGGGAUUAUCCUCCAAAAUGAUACUGCAACAUGUCCCAUCAGCAUCCCAAUUGGUCACAGAUGCACUAACCCCUAGGAACAUUUUGAAACCCACCUUUGCAAUUACUUCAGCUGUCUCCCUGAAGUCCACACAUCUGGUGACAUUAGAUUUUGCCAGAAACUCAUCAACCAGCCGAAUUCCAAUGUUAUAACCCAUUUGAUCUAGCUGUUUGUUGACUUCUUCAACCUCCUCCAGAUCCGUAAGCAAUUGACGCACAAUCGCCCCAUAGGUUAAUGUAAAUAGCUCCGCAUUCACGCGCUCAACACUAGCGAAGAUUGCAUCACCGGAUCGGGGAGCACCAGGAGGAGCCAUUGUUAUUGAGAGAUCUAGACUGUGAAAGUUAUUAGAGAAGUUUUUGAUGUCUUCG
RNAcentral lists this unclassified non-coding RNA (742 nucleotides) under Hevea brasiliensis (rubber tree). The record is from RNAcentral. Lineage: Eukaryota; Viridiplantae; Streptophyta; Magnoliopsida; Malpighiales; Euphorbiaceae.